CCAGCAUAUUCUUCACUUAACCUCCUAUUUUUAUUUGUCAAAAAAAUUAUUAAAGUUAAAAUCUUUUUGAAGUCUGUUUGCCCUAAAUAAGAAAAACCCUCUCAAAUGCAUAAGAACGGUGUUUUCCCCCUUUUAGAGAUUUUUCAUAGCUCACAUAACAAGAAGUAUUUCUUCCAUCAAUACAUAAAUUAAUGAUAUUUCGGAAGCCGGACGAUUUACAAGAACAAUAGACGCAAUGGGUGAUUACACUUAUGUGUCGGAGCUUUGGAGGAAGAAGCAGUCAGCUGUUAUGAGGCUCUUAUAAAGGGUGAGGUGCUGGGAGUACCGUCAACUCCUUUCUAUCGUCAGUGUCACCAGGCCUACCAAACUUGACAAGUUAUGCCGCUUGAGAUACAAGGCGAACAAGGGCUAUGUGGUCUACCAUGUUGGUGUGAAACGUAGUUUAAAGAAGAGUCCUGUUUCCAAGGGUAUUAUAUACGCUAAACCCACCAACUAGGGAGUCACCCAACUAAAAUUGCAGUGCAGAAAGCGAUCUGUUGCCGAGGAGCAUGCUGAUAGGAAAUUUGGUUGUCUUAGAGUCCUCAACUCAUAAUGGAUUAAUUAGGAUUCAAUUGAUUUGAGGUAAUAUUGGUUGAUCACGCUCAUGCUGCUAUUCGCAAUGAUCGAAGGAUCAACUAGAUCUGCAACCCAAUGCAUAAGCACAGAAAAUUGUGUGGUCUCAAUAGCUGGUAAGAAAUUCAGAGGACUCUGAGGAAGAGGACAACUCCACCACAAGUCUCGGCCAUCAAGAAGGUACAAAACGAAAUGCUUUACUUAAGAAGAAGAUGUCUUGAAUUCGCAUCACAUUGAAAGAAUUUUGUUGGAAUAUAGUUUAUCAGGUAGACGUUUCUACCUUUAAAUGUCUGAAUUUAUUUUAAUUUGGUUUAUUGUGUGGGGUUACAGUCUUACAGAUUUGGUUUGUGGGUUUUUUUUGUGAUGUUGAUACGAUUUGUGUUAAUUGAAGUGACUCCAGCUUGUAGUAGAUAUACACACAUUAGAUUCUUUGGCAUGGGCAUUAUUCAUUAUAUAAGAAUGAGAAUUUCUUUAUUAUUAGACCAAGAAACUUAUUCGAGCUAAAAUCGUCUAUGAUAAUGUAGGUUUUCAUGUCAAUCUUAUUUGUAGUUAUGCGAUUUGGGUUACUUUGUCUGUAUUAAUUCAUGAAACUCAAGUUUCUUGUAUUGGCUAGAAAGAAUUCUAGUCUGUAGUAGUAUUAAACCAUCAGAUAACAAAGCAUACCUCCUUUUCACAUAGAUUUAUUUUUGACCAAAGGAAAAUUAGACCAAUCAAGGGUCUCUAUUUGUGCAACUUUUUGAUGAAUUUCACAUUAUUAACGGUUUAUAAUUUAUCAGGUACAUAAGAUCAAAAUGUUGUUGUUUUCUUUACCUCAAUGGACUUAUGUAUCCUCUAUAUAAAAGGUGUUAUCAGGUAAAUCGAAAAACAUUUGUAUCCCAAUUCUAAUUUCUUUAAAAGGUAUCCAAAUUUUUAACUCUGUGUGUCAAAGAGAUUCUAUAUUAUCAAGUAUUACUAAAAAAGAAUCAUGUCAUUGUUUAUAAGGACAAGAAGUGAUUUUAAAAUUUUAAUAACGAGACAACUCUCUUGAUUAUCUUUAAUCAAGAGUGUUUUGAAUCCUCGUUCUUGUAUUCAUUGAUCAUUUUUGAAAGUUAAAUGCUGUCAGCACAUAAAAAUGAACAACAAGUAAAAAAGCUUAAACCAGCAUAAAAGUCGAUAGUAAUUAAAAGAAUACUUUGACGAAAUGUUCUUUUUAGUUGAUGCAAGUUUUGAUAUAAUCAUUGUGAUUAACCUUUUAAAAGAAAAGUAUUUACUGUGACUAGGACAAACUUUUCCCUGAAAAGAAUAACUCUGUUCUUCAGAAUUAAGGAAUCAUUUUAAAAUAUUUGUGGUUGCUGUUUAGUUGUCUCAUGUGACAUUCCAUCUCAUUUUUCUCUGUUCUUGUUUCCCUAUUGGUUUCAUGAUAAUUAAAUAAGACAACUAUGUCAACAUUAUUUCACAGCGCUAGUUAUAAGUACAGAGCGUUGAAAGAGUAUGUCUUUAACAAAAUUUUCACAGAGCUGUUUAAGGGGCCAUUAUGUGUUGUCUACAUGCAUAGUUCUAUCCAGAAGGAGGAUAACAACCCUGGAUUGACCAUCUUGAGGUGGAUCUACGAAGAGCUCUCUUCUGACUAUAAGGACAAGCUUCAGGCUGUAUACUUUGUGUAUCCUGGGCUCCCGUGAAGGCUUUUUCUUGGAACUCUAGGCAGAUUUUCUGAGUGGAGAGAAAAGAUUCUGAACCUUGUGUCUAAAUUGGAAGAAAAUGAUAAGGCGAUCACAAAAUUCAUGUUUUCGGCUAAACAAUUGGCUGAAGUAGAUGCAGUAUCCCAUGGCGAUCACAACAUUCAUGUUGUUCCAAUGUUCCAACAUUCAAAAUUGUAAAUAACUGAAUGUUUCAAAAUAAAAGGGCUAAAACCAGAUAAUGCAAAAAUUAAUCAAGCAACAGUCUCUCAAAAAGGUCAAGCUAUUCAAUGUUAAAAGCGGAGAGACAAAAUGUGGUUUCCUUUGUGUUUACAAUACAUGCAGUCAUGUGCUGAUAAAUGUUCUAUAUGAUUUUAUAUAUAU
Molecule: long non-coding RNA, 2651 nt
Organism: Solanum pennellii
Lineage: Eukaryota; Viridiplantae; Streptophyta; Magnoliopsida; Solanales; Solanaceae
Exons: 5
Source: RefSeq, a predicted model, not a curated record